GUGCUUGCUUCGGCAGCAGAUAUGCUAAAAUUGGUACCAUACAGAGAUUAGUGUGGUCCCUGUGCAAGGAUGACAUGCAAAUUCAUGAAGUGUAAAAAAAAAUU
RNAcentral lists this small nuclear RNA (104 nucleotides) under Castor canadensis (American beaver). Lineage: Eukaryota; Metazoa; Chordata; Mammalia; Rodentia; Castoridae. The record is from RNAcentral.